This is a non-coding RNA of Pimephales promelas (fathead minnow), 186 nucleotides long. Lineage: Eukaryota; Metazoa; Chordata; Actinopteri; Cypriniformes; Leuciscidae. The record is from RefSeq and is a predicted model, not a curated record.
ACUGAAUGCAGUGUGAAUCCUUCUCAUCAGUGAAACAGAAAGAAUUGUGUGACGAGACAUCAGUGGCUGUGACUGAAUGCAGUGUGAAUCCUUCCUCAUCAGUGAAACAGAAAGAAUUGUGUGACGAGACAUCAGUGGCUGUGACUGAAUGCAGUGUGAAUCCUUCCUCAUCAGUGAAACAGAAAG